This 937-nucleotide ribosomal RNA is filed under the name uncultured Methanobrevibacter sp. RNAcentral's name for it is "bacterial SSU rRNA". It matches the Rfam family "Archaeal small subunit ribosomal RNA", at positions 45 to 984 of the family's 1478-position model. The record is from RNAcentral. Lineage: Archaea; Methanobacteriati; Methanobacteriota; Methanobacteria; Methanobacteriales; Methanobacteriaceae.
UAAGCCAUGCGAGUCGAACGAGUUUAGGCUCGUGGCGUACGGCUCAGUAACACGUGGAUAACCUACCCUUAGGACCGGGAUAACCUUGGGAAACUGGGGACAAUACUGGAUAGGCAAUUUUUCCUGUAAUGGUUUUUUGUUUAAAUGUUUUUUCGCCUAAGGAUGGGUCUGCGGCCGAUUAGGUAGUUGGUUAGGUAAUGGCUUACCAAGCCGUUGAUCGGUACGGGUUGUGAGAGCAAGAGCCCGGAGAUGGAACCUGAGACAAGGUUCCAGGCCCUACGGGGUGCAGCAGGCGCGAAACCUCCGCAAUGUGAGAAAUCGCGACGGGGGGAUCCCAAGUGCCAUUCUUAACGGGAUGGCUUUUCAUUAGUGUAAAAAGCUUUUGGAAUAAGAGCUGGGCAAGACCGGUGCCAGCCGCCGCGGUAACACCGGCAGCUCUAGUGGUAGCAAUUUUUAUUGGGCCUAAAGCGUCCGUAGCCGGUUUAAUAAGUCUCUGGUGAAAUCCUGUAGCUUAACUGUGGGAAUUGCUGGAGAUACUAUUAGACUUGAGACCGGGAGAGGUUAGAGGUACUCCCAGGGUAGAGGUGAAAUUCUGUAAUCCUGGGAGGACCGCCUGUUGCGAAGGCGUCUAACUGGAACGGUUCUGACGGUGAGGGACGAAAGUUAGGGGCGCGAACCGGAUUAGAUACCCGGGUAGUCCUAACUGUAAACGAUGCGGACUUGGUGUUGGGGUGGCUUUGAGCUGCUCCAGUGCCGAAGGGAAGCUGUUAAGUCCGCCGCCUGGGAAGUACGGUCGCAAGACUGAAACUUAAAGGAAUUGGCGGGGGAGCACCACAACGCGUGGAGCCUGCGGUUUAAUUGGAUUCAACGCCGGACAUCUCACCAGAGGCGACAGCUGUAUGAUAGCCAGGUUGAUGACUUUGCUUGACUAGCUGAG